UUGCGGGUUCCUGCCUUGCUGUUUGCAGCUGCCAUGAACUGCAGCCCUGCCAUGCCACCCUGUAUGACUUGGAGCCAACUGAGUAUGGACUGAAACCUCCAAAAACUUGACCCCCAGCCAUGCGGACCUUCUCCUUCCUCACUGACCUUUUCCUGCUGGCCCUGCUGGCCCAUGCUGAACCUCUCCCAGAGAAAACUGAGGAUGUCCCAGAAGAGCAUGACUCAGAGGAAGAAGACCACGAUAUGACCAUCUCCUAUGACCAGGCUGAGGGCUCUGGUCCUCAAGACGUAGGUCAUCAAAAUACCGUCCACUUGCUAUUGAAGACAAGGUGGCUGUCGAGACCAGAAGAGGAACCUGCCUCAUGGGCAACAAGGAGAGAGCCUUGUGCUGUAGCUGAGCAUCCACAGCAGAGACAAGACCUCCUUCCACGUCCCCACAGUUUCUACUCUCCACUUGUCCCGCAUGUUCAUUCUCAGAUAAAUACCUUUCAGCAA
Molecule: long non-coding RNA, 494 nt
Organism: Cavia porcellus (domestic guinea pig)
Lineage: Eukaryota; Metazoa; Chordata; Mammalia; Rodentia; Caviidae
Exons: 3
Source: RefSeq, a predicted model, not a curated record